Molecule: ribosomal RNA, 468 nt
Filed under: uncultured bacterium
Lineage: Bacteria
Description: partial 16S ribosomal RNA
Rfam family: Bacterial small subunit ribosomal RNA
Source: RNAcentral
GACGAACGCUGGCGGCGUGCUUAACACAUGCAAGUCGAACGGAAAGGCCCUGCUUUUGCGGGGUGCUCGAGUGGCGAACGGGUGAGUAUCACGUGAGUAUCCUGCCCUUGAUUUUGGGAUAUCUUCAGGAGACUGGGGAUAAUACCCGAUAGGAGCUCCUGCUGCAUGGGGGGGGUUGGAAAGUUUCGGCGGUUGGGGAUGGAAUCGCGGAUUAUCAGCUUGUUGGUGGGGUAGUGGCUUACCAAGGCAUUGACGGGUAGCCGGCCUGAGAGGGUGACCGGCCACAUUGGGACUGAGGUACGACCCAGACUCCUACGGGGGGCAGCAGUGGAGAAUAUUGCACAAUGGGCGGAAGCCUGGUGCAGCGACGCCGCGUGCGGGAUGACGGCCUUCGGGUUGUAAACCGCUUUCGCGUGUGACGAAGCGUGAGUGACGGUAAUGGGUAAAGAAGCACCGGCUAACUACGUG